GAAGCCCUACGGGGGGCAGCAGUAGGGAAUCUUCCACAAUGGGCGCAAGCCUGAUGGAGCAACACCGCGUGAGUGAAGAAGGGUUUCGGCUCGUAAAGCUCUGUUGGUGGAGAAGAACGGGCGGGAGAGUAACUGUUCACGCAGUGACGGGAUCCAACCAGAAAGUCACGGCUAACUACGUGCCAGCAGCCGCGGGAAUACGUAGGUGGCAAGCGUUAUCCGGAUUUAUUGGGCGGAAAGCGAGCGC
Molecule: ribosomal RNA, 247 nt
Filed under: uncultured bacterium
Lineage: Bacteria
Description: partial 16S ribosomal RNA
Rfam family: Bacterial small subunit ribosomal RNA
Source: RNAcentral